RNAcentral lists this ribosomal RNA (425 nucleotides) under uncultured bacterium. RNAcentral describes it as "partial 16S ribosomal RNA". It matches the Rfam family "Bacterial small subunit ribosomal RNA", at positions 354 to 796 of the family's 1533-position model. The record is from RNAcentral.
GUGGGGAAUAUUGCACAAUGGGGGAAACCCUGAUGCAGCGACGCCGCGUGGAGGAAGAAGGUCUUCGGAUUGUAAACUCCUGUUGUUGAGGAAGAUAAUGACGGUACUCAACAAGGAAGUGACGGCUAACUACGUGCCAGCAGCCGCGGUAAAACGUAGGUCACAAGCGUUGUCCGGAAUUACUGGGUGUAAAGGGAGCGCAGGCGGGAGAACAAGUUGGAAGUGAAAUCCAUGGGCUAAACCCAUGAACUGCUUUCAAAACUGUUUUUCUUGAGUAGUGCAGAGGUAGGCGGAAUUCCCGGUGUAGCGGUGGAAUGCGUAGAUAUCGGGAGGAACACCAGUGGCGAAGGCGGCCUACUGGGCACCAACUGACGCUGAGGCUCGAAAGUGUGGGUAGCAAACAGGAUUAGAUACCCGUGUAGUCC